RNAcentral lists this unclassified non-coding RNA (263 nucleotides) under plant metagenome. Its description in RNAcentral is "partial contains small subunit ribosomal RNA, internal transcribed spacer 1, and 5.8S ribosomal RNA". The stretch from base 216 to 263 matches the Rfam family "5.8S ribosomal RNA", at positions 1 to 49 of the family's 154-position model. The record is from RNAcentral.
UCUCCGUUGGUGAACCAGCGGAGGGAUCAUUACCGAGUUUACAACUCCCAAACCCAAUGUGAACCAUACCAAACUGUUGCCUCGGCGGGGUCACGCCCCGGGUGCGUCGCAGCCCCGGAACCAGGCGCCCGCCGGAGGGACCAACCAAACUCUUUCUGUAGUCCCCUCGCGGACGUUAUUUUUACAGCUCUGAGCAAAAAUUCAAAAUGAAUCAAAACUUUCAACAACGGAUCUCUUGGUUCUGGCAUCGAUGAAGACGCAGC